RNAcentral lists this ribosomal RNA (325 nucleotides) under uncultured eukaryote. RNAcentral's name for it is "partial 18S ribosomal RNA". It matches the Rfam family "Eukaryotic small subunit ribosomal RNA", at positions 1470 to 1796 of the family's 1831-position model. The record is from RNAcentral.
CCCUUAGAUGUUCUGGGCCGCACGCGCGCUACACUGAUGCAUUCAACGAGUCUACAACCUGGUCUGAUAGGGCUGGGUAAUCUUUUGAAUGUGCAUCGUGAUUGGGAUAGAUGAUUGCAAUUCUUCAUCUUCAACGAGGAAUGCCUAGUAAACGCAAGUCAUCAGCUUGCAUUGAUUACGUCCCUGCCCUUUGUACACACCGCCCGUCGCUCCUACCGAUUGAACGAUCCGGUGAAUUAUUUGGAGUAGCUCUGGAAGUUGCAGAACUUCCUAUGUCACGAAAUUUUGUAAACCUUAUCGUUUAGAGGAAGGAAAAGUCGUAACA